Molecule: unclassified non-coding RNA, 267 nt
Filed under: uncultured fungus
Lineage: Eukaryota; Fungi
Description: sequence contains ITS1
Source: RNAcentral
UAUAGGUUUGUAGGCACAAAGGCCUUACUAUUACAUUCUAUAACAUACAUGGUGUAUAUGAAGAAAACAUAGGUCUGGAAAUGUAAGGAAAGAGCAAAGUCAAUCCCCAAACCUGAAUGCCAGGCAUUCAGAAAGAUAUCCAGAUCUACAAAAGGUGCACAGGUGGAGAUAUAAAGAUGACAAGCGUGCACAUGCUCCCUAGAGAACCAGCAACAACCCAUCAGGUUUAUUUCAAUAAUGAUCCUUCCGCAGGUUCACCUACGGAAA